Non-coding RNA from Gossypium raimondii (Peruvian cotton), 145 nucleotides. NCBI's taxonomy places the organism in Eukaryota, Viridiplantae, Streptophyta, Magnoliopsida, Malvales, Malvaceae. The record is from Rfam.
AAUUAAAAAUUUCGUCCAUUUAUACUAUUAAAAGCUAAAAUGCAUGAGAGAAUAGUUAAACAGUAACAUGUGACGUGCCACAUGUAUGUCAUGUUGGCAUACAGUGACCAACUUUUAAUAGCAUAAUUGGAAAAAAAAUUUAAUA